UCAGCAGUCAAGAAUAUUAGUCAAUGCUCGAAAGAGUGAACUAGCUAACUGAAAUCAAUUUAAAAAUUGAUAACAUAAGGGAAAAUGAUGAUAUUACCUUAUUAUUAGUGUCGUCCAAAACUGGUGCCAGAAGACUCGGUAAGGCCAGAGACACAAACGUUAAUCGUCUUAAUCAGGCGUAAAGGGUUUGUAGGCGGCUUUUAAUUUACUUAUAAAAUUUAAUUUAUUAAAAAAUAAGUUAAGAAUAGAAGCUAGAAUCAAAUAGAGGAUAUAUUAAAUAAUGCUUAGAGUAGGUCUGAUAUCCAUAGAUACUAAGUAGAAUAUUAAAGGCAAAAGCUUUUUUCCAUAAAUGAUUGACGCUCAGAAACGAAGGUGAGGAUAGGAAAUAGGAUUAGAUACCCAAAAUACCCCUCUCUGUCAACGAUGAAUGGUAAUUAUUAAUAAUUUAUUAUUAAUGAUAAUGUUAACACGAUAACCAUUCCGCCUUGUGAGUACAACUGCAAAGUUGAAAACAAAAAAAUUAGUCGGUUUCGGAGCAAACGAAGUGAAGCAUGUUAUUUAAUUCGAUAAUCCGCA
Molecule: ribosomal RNA, 576 nt
Filed under: Russula sp.
Lineage: Eukaryota; Fungi; Basidiomycota; Agaricomycetes; Russulales; Russulaceae
Description: SSU rRNA
Rfam family: Bacterial small subunit ribosomal RNA
Source: RNAcentral